Molecule: ribosomal RNA, 466 nt
Filed under: uncultured bacterium
Lineage: Bacteria
Description: bacterial SSU rRNA
Rfam family: Bacterial small subunit ribosomal RNA
Source: RNAcentral
CCUACGGGUGGCACCAGUGGGGAAUAUUGGGCAAUGGGCGCAAGCCUGACCCAGCAACGCCGUGUGAGGGAAGAAGGUUUUCGGAUCGUAAACCUCUGUCAAAGGGGAAGAAGUGGCAGAUAUUUAAUAUAUAUUUGCUUUGACGGUACCUUCAGAGGAAGCACCGGCUAACUCCGUGCCAGCAGCCGCGGUAAUACGGAGGGUGCGAGUGUUAUUCGGAAUCACUGGGCGUAAAGCGCGCGUAGGUUGCGUGGUAAGUCGGAUGUGAAAGCCCCCGGCUCAACUGGGGAACUGCAUUUGAAACUGCCAGGCUUGAGUACGACAGAGGGUGGCGGAAUUCCCGGUGUAGGGGUGAAAUCCGUAGAUAUCGGGAGGAACACCAGUAGCGAAGGCGGCCACCUGGGUCGAUACUGACGCUGAGGUGCGAAAGCGUGGGUAGCAAACAGGAUUAGAUACCCUCGUAGUC